This 266-nucleotide ribosomal RNA is filed under the name uncultured bacterium. RNAcentral describes it as "partial 16S ribosomal RNA". It matches the Rfam family "Bacterial small subunit ribosomal RNA", at positions 123 to 406 of the family's 1533-position model. The record is from RNAcentral.
AAUCUGCCUUUAGGUCGGGGACAACAGUUGGAAACGACUGCUAAUACCGGAUGUGCAGCAAUGUGAAAGAUUUAUUGCCUAAAGAUGAGCUCGCGUCUGAUUAGCUAGUAGGUGUGGUAAUGGCGCACCUAGGCGACGAUCAGUAACUGGUCUGAGAGGAUGACCAGUCACACUGGGACUGAGACACGGCCCAGACUCCUACGGGAGGCAGCAGUGGGGAAUUUUCCGCAAUGGGCGAAAGCCUGACGGAGCAAUACCGCGUGAGG